RNAcentral lists this ribosomal RNA (1740 nucleotides) under Niphargus rhenorhodanensis. RNAcentral's name for it is "bacterial SSU rRNA". It matches the Rfam family "Eukaryotic small subunit ribosomal RNA", at positions 395 to 1798 of the family's 1831-position model. Lineage: Eukaryota; Metazoa; Arthropoda; Malacostraca; Amphipoda; Niphargidae. The record is from RNAcentral.
CCUGAGAGACGGCUACCACGUCCAAGGACGGCAGCAGGCACGCAAAUUACCCAAUCCCAGCAACUGGGGGAGGUAGUGACGAAAUCUAACGAUGCGGGCGCCCUAUUUGGGGCCCCGCAAUCGGAAUGAGCACUUUCUAAACAACCUGUUGAGAACCUACUGAAGGGCAAGUCUGGUGCCAGCAGCCGCGGUAAUUCCAGCUUCAGCAGCAUCUAUUAAAGUUGCUGCGGUUAAAAGGCUCGCAGUUGAAUGUCAGUAUCGAGCGCAGGUCAGGUGGACGCUGGGGCGUGGGAACACAAGGCGCGGUACGGGCCCUUGCCUCGUGCUUGUGGUACCGGCCGUGUCUCUCACAUACCCCCGUCCGUUACAAGCCUCCUCGCUCGCGUACAUAUCGGAAUUGGUCAAACGGAGUGUGCGCAGUCCUUUGCGUUUCUCGUCUUCAGGCCGCGUUCGCGCGUGUCGGUUGGUGGGUGCGUGCGGGGCUCGCACGUUAAGCUCCUUCGGUUUCAUGGUCACCUUGAGUAAAUCAGAGUGCUCAAAGCAGUCGUAGGGGCCUUGCGCCCUGUGAACAGUCUUGACGGACUGACUUGGUUUUGCAUGGCAUGUCGGAAGACGACGUCGUGUGCUGGCUCAGAGAUUAUCAGUGGUGCAAGCCAGCCUCGACGUACUGAUUAACAGGGACGGUCGAGGGCAUUGGUAUUGCGAGGCGAGAGGUGAAAUUCUAUGACCCCCGCAAGACCUCCUGAAGCGAAAGCGUCUGCCAAGGACGUUUUCAUUAAUCAUGAACGAAAGUUAGAGGAUCGAAGGCGAUCAGAUACCGCCCUAGUUCUAACCCUAAACGAUGCCAACCAUCAAUCCGCGCGUAGCUCCCAUCUUAACGGGCUCGGCGGGCAGCUCCCCACUCACGGGAAACCAGAGUCUCUGGGUUCCGGGGGGAGUCUGGUUGCAAAGCUGAAACUUAAAGGAAUUGACGGAAAGGCACCACCAGGCGUGGAGCCUGCGGCUUAAUUUGACUCAACACGGGCCAUCUCACCAGGCCAGCACUCUUGUACGAUUGACAGAUUGAGAGCUCUUUCUCGAUUCAGUGGAUGGUGGUGCAUGGCCGUUCUUAGUUGGUGGAGUGAUCUGUCUGGUUAAUUCCGAUAACGAACGAGACUCUCCCCUGCUAACUAGUCGGCUGGAUCUUUAUCGGUGAGUUGUGUGCCGAGAACACCUGGGUGCGGGCGCGUGGGGUUGCUGCGGUUUUACCAAGGCUCUCCCGUGCUUCGUUUUCCGGGCCUCGGGCCACACACUCCAAGUCCGCCGCUUAUUGUAUAACUCUUCUUAGAGGGAUUCACGGUUCUGAAGCCGUCAGAGACUGAGAGCAAUAACAGGUCUGUGAUGCCCUUAGAUGCUCUGGGCCGCACGCGCGCUACAAUGCCGGGCACAGCAGGUGUUUCUCCUGCUCCGACAGGAGCAGGUAACCCUCUGAAAGCCACUGUUUUUGUCGUGUCUGACACGAAAGGCGUGCUUGGGCCUGGGGCUUGCAAUUCUUUCCCACCAACGAGGAAUGCCUAGUAGCGGCGGGUCACUGAGCCCGCUGUGACUCAGUCCCUGCCCUUUGUACACACCGCCCGUCGCUACUACCGAUUGGGUGUACCAGUGAGAGCCUUGGACUGGCGUCCGUUGCCUUCGGGCAAGCGGGUCCGACGGAAAGAGGUCCGAACUGGUGCACUUAGAGGAAGUAAAAGUCGUAACAAG